GAUGCCCUUAGAUGUUCUGGGCCGCACGCGCGCUACACUGAUCAAGUCAACGAGUCUACAACCUUGGCCGGAAGGUCUGGGUAAUCUUUUGAAACUUGAUCGUGCUGGGGAUAGUCCAUUGCAAUUAUUGGACUUCAACGAGGAAUUCCUAGUAAGCGUGAGUCAUCAGCUCGCGUUGAUUACGUCCCUGCCCUUUGUACACACCGCCCGUCGCUACUACCGAUUGAAUGGCUUAGUGAGGCUUUCGGAUUGGACUUUGGCAGCUGGCAACAGCAGCCGAAGACUGAAAAGUUAUCCAAACUUGGUCAUUUAGAGGAAGUAAAAGUCGUAACAAGGUUUCCGUAGGUGAACCUGCGGAAGGAUCAUUCACAAUGAGCGUUUUAUGGCGCUUUUUAAACAAAUCCAUAUCCACCUUGUGUGCACCGUUUGAGUUCUCCGCCUCUCCUUGACUGCGAGAGGAGGGAGUUCUUAACCACAUCAAUUUUUUUUAACCAGUUUGUCUGAACAAGUGUAUCGUGAAUUAACUUAAUUCGAUAAUACAACUUUCAACAACGGAUCUCUUGGCUCUCGCAUCGAUGAAGAACGCAGCGAAAUGCGAUACGUAAUGUGAAUUGCAGAAUUCAGUGAAUCAUCGAAUCUUUGAACGCACAUUGCGCUCUCUUGGUAUUCCGGAGAGCAUGCUUGUUUGAGUAUCAGUAAAACACCCUCAACUCCCCUCUCCCUGUUGUUCUCUCUCUGAGAAACACGUGCGGGGCAGGGGGGUUGGACUUGAGCGAUUCCAACGGCGGUGGACAGGUCGAUCUUUUUUGGUCGACUCGUGAAACCGCUGGCGGGCCGCUUGAAAUGCAGGUGCGGCAGGACACAUCUUCUGAGCUAUAAGCAUUACUUAUUUAGUCCCGUUAAACGGAUUAUCUCUAUUGCUGCAGCUAAUAUAAAGGUCGAUUGUUCUUGUGCCCGACUGAUGCAGGAAAAUGAAGGGCGGGUCUUUGUUAAUUCCAAGACGCGUCCUUUGUUCAACUCGAUCUCAAAUCAAGCAAGACUACCCGCUGAACUUAAGCAUAUCAAUAAGCGGAGGAAAAGAAACUAACAAGGAUUCCCCUAGUAACGGCGAGUGAAGCGGGAUGAGCUCAAAUUUAAAAUCUGGCUGGUUUACCGGUCCGAGUUGUAGUUUAAAGAAGCGUUUUCGGUGGCAGCCUGGGUAUAAAUCCUUUGGAACAGGGUAUCGUAGAGGGUGAGAAUCCCGUCUUUGACUCAGUGCUAUGCUACUCUGUGAUACGUUUUCAAAGAGUCGAGUUGUUUGGGAAUGCAGCUCAAAAUGGGUGGUAAAUUUCAUCUAAGGCUAAAUAUUGGCGAGAGACCGAUAGCGAACAAGUACCGUGAGGGAAAGAUGAAAAGAACUUUGAAAAGAGAGUUAAACAGUGCGUGAAAUUGUUGAAAGGGAAACGUUUGACACCAGCUAUGCAGGCGGAAAAUCAGUCAACUGCAGUGAGGGGUUGUGUGGGUCUGGACCGCAAGGCCGGCCUUUACCUCACCUUUGCUGUAGGUGAUGCACUUUUUCGUCCGCAGGUCAACAUCAGUUUCGCCCGCUGGACAAAACUCCGAGAGAAGGUAGCAGCUUAGGCUGUGUUAUAGCUCUGGAGCGAUACAGUGGGUGGGACUGAGGAUUCGCAGUGUGCGCUCUCGGGCAAGGCUGACUGGGUGCUCUGGGGUUGUUUGGCGUACAAUGCAUGCAUUUUGCGCCUUGUCUUCCUCAUACUCGCUCAAUUCGGCUCUUCCACGCUUAGGAUGUUGACUUAAUGGUUUUAAACGACCCGUCUUGAAACACGGACCAAGGAGUCUAACAUGCAUGCAAGUGUUUGGGUGGCAAACCCAUGCGCGUAAUGAAAGUGAACGUAGGUGCGAUCCGCAAGGUGCAGCAUCGACCGAUCUUGAUAUUUUUGGAUAGAUUUGAGUAAGAGCAUGUAUGCUGGGACCCGAAAGAUGGUGAACUAUGCCUGAAUAGGGUGAAGCCAGAGGAAACUCUGGUGGAGGCUCGUAGCGAUUCUGACGUGCAAAUCGAUCGUCAAAUUUGGGUAUAGGGGCGAAAGACUAAUCGAACC
Molecule: ribosomal RNA, 2099 nt
Filed under: uncultured fungus
Lineage: Eukaryota; Fungi
Description: bacterial SSU rRNA
Rfam family: Eukaryotic large subunit ribosomal RNA (bases 1020-2099)
Source: RNAcentral